Long non-coding RNA from Grus americana (Whooping crane), 689 nucleotides. RefSeq lists it as uncharacterized. The record is from RefSeq and is a predicted model, not a curated record. Lineage: Eukaryota; Metazoa; Chordata; Aves; Gruiformes; Gruidae. The transcript is spliced from 3 exons.
CUUCCACGUCACUGUGCAGUGCAACAGGUCCAGACAAUCGAAUGCCUCUGCAAGUCUUCACCCUAUGCCCCAAGCCAGAAGACAAAUUAUAACAAGAAAGCAUUAGGAAACAGUGAUCAACUUCAGGAUAGUCACGGCAGCAGUGUUAUCCUGAGAAGCUGAAGGCUGUCAACCACAUUACGACACAGCUUUGGAAGAAGAUUUUAUUCUACUGACUACAACUGGCCACCCUUUGAGUACAGAUGCACGGACAGAACUGUUCAAAUACUCUCUGAAUGCCUACAGAUAUGGAUGUCUAUCUCUUGUACCAGAGGCCUGCUAAUACAUCACCUCAUCAUUAAUUUUUUACUCAGUUUCCAACUAUAUAAUUCAAUUGAAUCAUAUUUUACUGCUUGACAAGGUAUAGAACUCUGAUUAUAAAUCAGAUAUGCCCUUCGGAUAUCUGCUGGAAGCACAGUCUGCCCUGUAUAAAGCUUUUGGUGUUGGGGUUUCUGUUCUUGUUUAUCUUUAUUACUGCAUUCCACUCUGAUCAAAACAACACCAUAAAAAUAAUCAAUAAUUUUAAAACGUAUUUUCCUACUGCUUUCCUAUUGUAUUAUAUGGCUUAAUUUUUUUUUUUUUUUUUAAAGUUCUGCUUUCUCCUUUUCUUACAAGGAGGAAAGUCCUGACCUCCUUUGCCAGGGCCCGAC